RNAcentral lists this long non-coding RNA (1809 nucleotides) under Monodelphis domestica (gray short-tailed opossum). RNAcentral describes it as "lncRNA (ENSMODG00000035230.2)". The record is from RNAcentral. Lineage: Eukaryota; Metazoa; Chordata; Mammalia; Didelphimorphia; Didelphidae.
CUGGAUUUUAUUCAAACAUCUAACUUCCAUGCAAGGCUGAUCUCUAUAGCAAGAGUUCAAAGAAGUAUCUUUGAGGAUUAUUGAUUUAUUUUUUCCUUGUCACAUGGUUAUAAAAUAAACAAUUGCAAACCAAGUGAGGCAAGGGUCAAAACUAAGACCUUCAGUUUGAUUUCCAAGCUAGGGGUGUUUUUCAUUGAUGUUAUUCAAAACAAACCAGCUUUUCCAGCUUUAGAGGACUCUGAAGGAGGGAUCAGACAGGGAAACACUACAUGACCCAAGCUAGAGGAACAAGCCAGAUUUAUCAAGCAUCAGCAAAACCCUACUCUUAAGUUCCGUCACUUUGUUUUAAAUGCCAGUGUGAGCUACAGUUGGAAGUUUGAUUUGGAGGUAAUGAACAAGCAAGCUAGUCUAAUAAAGUGGCAAAAAAGGAUUACUAGCAGAGAACUGUUGCUGCCGCCUUUAGGGCUCCUGCAGGACUAGGAUCUUCAAACGUUAAGCUCCUCCCGCCUUCCGAAGUUAGCAAACUUCCUUCCCCGCAUUUCUUAAAGAGAGUGCUCCUCUGCCUUGCCGGUUCCUGCAGUGCUUUACCGAGUUCCUAAUCUUCCCUUUUGGAAGUGAAAAUGUCUGCAAAGAUUGGAGGAGGUUUCGGGAGGGAAGCUUCUCAGCAGAUCCUGGCUGGAGGUUCAGCGGGAAUGCAACUGCUAGCAGCAAUCUUGGGAGAAGAGCUGAGAGCCCCAAAUAGUUCUUAAUAAUUAUCUUAAUUUCCUCUUCAUUAGAGGUAAGAUCACCUUUUCAUCUUUGAUACUGUAAAUUUGAUUCUCUUAUUUCUUUUUUUUAUUAGAUUAAUUGGCAUAUUAUCUAUUUUAUUUGUUUUUUCAAAGUACCAGGUCAUAGGCUUAUUUAUUAGUUGAAUAGUUCUUUUACUUUCAAUUUUAUUAAUCUAUACUUUAACUUUUAGAAUCUCCAAUUUAGUUUUUUUCUGGGGAUUUUUAAUUCAUUCUUUUUCUAAUUUUUUAAGUUGCAAGUCCACCCUCUCAUUUUUUUUUUUUUGCUAUAGACACUCAGAGAUAUAAAUUUUCCUGAGUACUGCUUUGGUUGUAUCCCAUAGGUUUUGAUAUGAUAUCUCCUCAUUAUCAUUCUCUUUAAUGAAGUCCUUAAUUAUUUUUAUGAUUUAUUUUUUGACCCACCAGUUUUGAAGAAUUAUAUUAUUUAGUUUCCAAUUAAUUUUAAAUUUGCCUUUCCAUGGAUACUUGUUAUUAAUAACUUUUUAUGAUCCUAGAAAGCUGUAUUUAUUAUUUCUGUUUUUCUGCAUUUGUUUGCAAUAUUUCUAUGUCCUAAUACAUGGUUGAUCUUUGUAUAUGUACCAUGUACUGCUGAGAAGAAGGUAUAUUCCUUUUUAACCCCUGUUCAAUUUUCUUCAGAUAGCUAUUAACCCUAAUUUCUCUAGCAUUUCAUUCACUUCCCUUACUUAUUUCUUAUUUAUUUUUAGGAUUGAUUUAUCUAGUUCUGAAAGGGAAAGGUUGAGAUCCUCCUUGGGUAUGGUCUUACUAUCUAUUUCCUGCUUGAGCUCCUUAAAAUUUUUCUUUAGAAAUCUAGAUGCUAUACCAUUUAUUUAGUGAUGUUUGGUAAUGAUAUUAUUUCAUUGUUUAUAGUACACUUUAGCAAAAUGUAAUUUCCUUCCUUAUCUCUUUUAAUCAGAUCAAUUUCUACUUUAGCUUUGUAUGGUACCAUGAUUGCUACCCCCUAUUUUUUUUUUUACUUUAGAUGAUGCAUAAUAAAUUCUGCUCUCACUUUUUACCUUGAAUCUAU